AUUGAACGCUGGCGGCAUGCCUUACACAUGCAAGUCGAACGGUAACGGGCCUUCGGGUGCCGACGAGUGGCGAACGGGUGAGUAAUACAUCGGAACGUGCCCGAUCGUGGGGGAUAACGAGGCGAAAGCUUUGCUAAUACCGCAUACGAUCUACGGAUGAAAGCCGGGGACCGCAAGGCCUUGCGCGGACGGAGCGGCCGAUGGCAGAUUAGGUAGUUGGUGGGAUAAAAGCUUACCAAGCCGACGAUCUGUAGCUGGACUGAGAGGAUGAUCAGCCACACUGGGACUGAGACACGGCCCAGACUCCUACGGGAGGCAGCAGUGGGGAAUUUUGGACAAAGGGCGCAAGCCUGAUCCAGCCAUGCCGCGUGCAGGAUGAAGGCCUUCGGGUUGUAAACUGCUUUUGUACGGAACGAAAAGCCUUCUUUUAAUACAGGAGGGUCAUGACGGUACCGUAAGAAUAAGCACCGGCUAACUACGUG
This 482-nucleotide ribosomal RNA is filed under the name uncultured bacterium. RNAcentral describes it as "partial 16S ribosomal RNA". It matches the Rfam family "Bacterial small subunit ribosomal RNA", at positions 30 to 507 of the family's 1533-position model. The record is from RNAcentral.